This is a small nucleolar RNA of Psammomys obesus (fat sand rat), 139 nucleotides long. RefSeq annotates it as small nucleolar RNA SNORA48. Lineage: Eukaryota; Metazoa; Chordata; Mammalia; Rodentia; Muridae. The record is from RefSeq and is a predicted model, not a curated record. The transcript has a single exon.
CCCCCCUAGCAAUGGGCAAAGAGACACCUUAUUGAUGGUAUUUUUCUUAGAUAUGGGGAGAGCAUUUGGACGUCCUUUGUUCAUCCUAACUUGAUGCCUAGCUUGGUGGCCAAAGCUGUUUUAUGCCUAUGACACAUAA